UGCGUAGGCGGAAUAAUAAGUCAGUGGUGAAAUCCUGCGGCUCAACCGUAGAACUGCCAUUGAUACUGUUAUUCUUGAAUGUAGUUGAGGUAGGCGGAAUGUGUAAUGUAGCGGUGAAAUGCUUAGAUAUUACACAGAACACCGAUUGCGAAGGCAGCUUGCUAAACUAUGAUUGACGCUGAUGCACGAAAGCGUGGGGAGCGAACAGGAUUAGAUACCCUGGUAGUCC
RNAcentral lists this ribosomal RNA (229 nucleotides) under uncultured bacterium. RNAcentral describes it as "partial 16S ribosomal RNA". It matches the Rfam family "Bacterial small subunit ribosomal RNA", at positions 568 to 796 of the family's 1533-position model. The record is from RNAcentral.